RNAcentral lists this long non-coding RNA (1183 nucleotides) under Macaca fascicularis (crab-eating macaque). Its description in RNAcentral is "lncRNA (ENSMFAG00000059495.1)". The record is from RNAcentral. Lineage: Eukaryota; Metazoa; Chordata; Mammalia; Primates; Cercopithecidae.
GAUUGCCUGUCUUCCCUUUAUUUUUUCUGCCUGCCUGGUGUGCUGGAGCUCCAGCUCCAUCUUGGACCAUGAUGGAAAAUGGAAGCACUUGUUGAGGAUCUACAGAGUCUGGGUUCCUGGUGACAGUACAGCUGCCAUAUGAAUCCCAGAUUGUCAAACUCUGAACUUAUUAUGCCGGAGAAACAUAAACCCUUAUGUGUCUAAGCUAUUGUUAUUUGACUACUUGUAGUCAACUCUAAUCCUGACUUAUACACCUUAUAUUCAAAGCUCUAAAUAGUAGCCCCAGCAUACCUUCCAGCCUCCUCUCAUUCUCUCCCUUACAAAUACACAUAUAGCCAAACUUCACUGUUUGUUUUCUAAGGAGAUAACCUUUGCUUUUCUGUCUCUAAGUUUUUGCUCAUCCCAUGCCCAUUCUCCAUGUCUAUCUAUUGAAGUGCAACUCAGAUGCCCCUUUCUCCAAGAAUCCUUCUGUGAUUCUUCUACUCAAAUGUGAUUUCUCCUCUUUCUGAGCUCAGAGUGUUUUGAUUGUAUCCUUCUUGGCACUUAGAGUCUGCCAGAAUUAUCAUUACUUUGCUGCCUAUUCUGCUAGAUUUUAAGCUCCCUUUAUGGUGCCAAGCACAGGGUUAGUGUUCUAUAACGAUUUGAUGCAAUAAUGCAUGAAUAAAUAAAGGAAUGAAUGAAUAAAAACAAAAAGUGAACAUUCUUUUGCCCCUCAUCCUGUGUACCCGUUCAUCUUAACCCCUCUGAAGAGACAGGUGGAAAAAGCUCCCACAGUUGAUCAAAGAGAAGAGAGAAGCGGUAGGCACAAAGUAAGUCAUGGGGACACCUCUGUCUGCAAUGGACAAGGCUGAAAAAAAUUAUUACAGUUGGCCCAGCUUGCCUUUUAAGAGCAACAACUAAUAUUUACUAAGCACUUGCCAUGUGCUGACACCAUGCAAAGUGAUUUAAAUGCACUAUUUCAUUUAAUUUAAUCCACCAACAAUCUAUGAAAUUUGGCUAAUUGGACCACGCGCGGUGGCUCAUGCCUAUAAUACCAGCACUUUGGGAGGCUGAGGCAGGCAGGUCAUGAGGUCAAGAGAUCGAGACCAUCCUGGCCAACAUGGUGAAACCCUGUCUCUACUAAAAAUAGAAAAAUUAGCUGGGCAUGGUGGCAUGCACCUGUAGUCCCAGCUACUCAGGAGGC